Molecule: ribosomal RNA, 253 nt
Filed under: uncultured bacterium
Lineage: Bacteria
Description: partial 16S ribosomal RNA
Rfam family: Bacterial small subunit ribosomal RNA
Source: RNAcentral
UACAGAGGUCCCAAGCGUUGUUCGGAUUCACUGGGCGUAAAGGGUGCGUAGGCGGUCGGGUAGGUCACCUGUGAAAUCUCCUGGCUCAACUGGGAGCUUGCAGGCGAAACUGCCGUGCUGGAGUGUGGGAGAGGUGCGUGGAAUUCCUGGUGUAGCGGUGAAAUGCGUAGAUAUCAGGAGGAACACCUGUGGCGAAAGCGGCGCACUGGACCACAACUGACGCUGAGGCGCGAAAGCUAGGGGAGCAAACAGG